UAGUACGCUAGGGGUAUGCCUUAACUUGCAUGUCGUACCGGGGUAUCCGUAAGUCGUCUGACGUAUGCCUAACGGGUGAGUAAUACAUCGGAACGUGCCCAGUCGUGGGGGAUAACUACUCGAAAGAGUAGCUAAUACCGCAUACGAUCUGAGGAUGAAAGCGGGGGACCUUCGGGCCUCGCGCGAUUGGAGCGGCCGAUGGCAGAUUAGGUAGUUGGUGGGAUAAAAGCUUACCAAGCCGACGAUCUGUAGCUGGUCUGAGAGGACGACCAGCCACACUGGGACUGAGACACGGCCCAAACUCCUACGGGAGGCAGCAGUGGGGAAUUUUGGACAAUGGGCGAAAGCCUGAUCCAGCAAUGCCGCGUGGAGGAUGAAGGCCUUCGGGUUGUAAACUGCUUUUGUACGGAACGAAAAAGCUCCUUCUAAUACAGGGGGCCCAUGACGGUACCGUAAGAAUAAGCACCGGCUAACUACUGCCACCAGCCGCGGUAAUACGUAGGGUGCGAGCGUUAAUCGGAUUACUGGGCGUAAAGCGUGCGCGGCGGUUAUGUAAGACAAAUGUGAAAUCCCCGGGCUCACCUGGGAACUGCAUUUGUGACUGCAUGGCUAGAGUACGGUAGAGGGGAUGGAAUUCCCCGUGUACAUUGAAUGCGUAAAUAUGCGGAGGAACAC
This 675-nucleotide ribosomal RNA is filed under the name Delftia sp. HPC 551. Its description in RNAcentral is "bacterial SSU rRNA". It matches the Rfam family "Bacterial small subunit ribosomal RNA", at positions 29 to 709 of the family's 1533-position model. The record is from RNAcentral. Lineage: Bacteria; Pseudomonadati; Pseudomonadota; Betaproteobacteria; Burkholderiales; Comamonadaceae.